Molecule: non-coding RNA, 2304 nt
Organism: Sus scrofa (pig)
Lineage: Eukaryota; Metazoa; Chordata; Mammalia; Artiodactyla; Suidae
Source: RefSeq, a predicted model, not a curated record
CAUUGAGACGCUGUCCCAUUUCCUGGAUGAGGUUGGCCGCCUGCUGGCGGUACGAGAGCUCUUUAUCUGCCUCCACUCCGCAGCGGCGGCUCGGCGUGUUCUCCAGCUGUUCUCGAGUAAAGAACCAGCGAGAAGAAGCUCCACGGCCCGACGCCAUGACACUUCCUCCUCCGCCCGCUCCCUCACCCACCCCCCCUCCCUUCCCGGCUCGCGGACUCCCCGCCAAGGCCGCGCGACCCCGCCCCACUCCGCUCGCCGUAGACCACGCACCGCCCCUCGUCACCCCCUCUUCCGCCCGUGCGCGUGCGCGCGGGGCCGCCCUACCGGUUCGCUCUAGUCUUUUGCUUUCUUUUUAAUGACCCCGGCCUCGCUCUUGUUCACGGGACCACAAUGCUCCGCGCCUCUUGUCAUUUGGAGGCGCCCGAAGGAGAAGACUUUUGACGGGGAAUCAUGUUUAGAAUACUUUGAAUAAACACAGUUUCCUUCCCUGCAAAUUACUCCCUGACUUCUGAAUACCACAUUUUUCUGGUUUUCCUCCCUCACUGGGCAUCACUCAGCUUCCAGUGCUGGCCAUUUCCAUCUGACUUCCAAAUGCUGGUGAAUUCCAGGAAUUAGUCUCGGGUUCUUUUGGGUUUCUGCUCUACUUUUUCUCUCAGUGAUUUCGUCCAGUCUCAUUUCUUUAAAUACUUUCUAUACCCUGAUGGCCUCCCCUACCUUCCCUCUUCAACCCUCCAGAAUAGCAUACCUACAGCUUACUGGGCAUUCCUACCUAAGUGCCUAAGACACAUCUGAAAUAUAACAAAUCCAACAACAAGACUAUUGAAUCAGAGCUGCAGCUGCCUGCCUACACCACAGCCAAAGCAACACACGAUCUGAGCUGUGUCUGCAACCUUCACCACAGCUCACAGCAACACCAACUACUCAACCCACUGAGGGGCCAGGGAUGGAACCCUCAUCCUCGUGGAUACUGAUCAGACUUCAGCCAGAGGUACAUGAACCACAGAUGUUCAUCACCCUUCUCAGGACCACGUUCCUUUUUGGCAGCCCAGGUGGGAUGACCAGAAAUGAAGUAAGUAGAACAAGGCAACCCUGGUACUGCCCUGCUCAGGCUCCACAGCUCACUGUACACAUUCUGCUUAGCAUUUUAAACUAAAAGAGCUUCUGGUGAAAGCAAAUUACAUCCUGAAACUUUUCUCCAGAAUAGGUAAGUUCUCAUUUAGUCUGAAACCUAUGUUCCCAUAGUUUUGCCUUCUUAAUCUAUUUCCCAUCUUCAAAACCUAAACACACCUUAUCCAUCCUUAUAGACUCUGCCCAAGUUCCAGCUUCUGUGAAGAUCUGACCCAAAUUUGAAUCCAAAUGAAUUUUUCUUUCUGAUGCUUCUGUGACGUGAAUAUUUUAUUGCUUAGUAGUUAUUCCAUGAACAUGUAUCCUGCUCUAGAGGUUAUGGAAUAUCUAUAUCAUUUAUUGUUUUUGGAAUCUAAAGCAUUACCAGCUCACUUCUGGGCUAAUAGGAGGUGCUAAAAGUAGGCAAAAAGAGGGCCCUAUUCACAUAUACUUGCUCAAAGUGGAAAACCUGCUGGAACCCUCUAAGAUGAAUCUUUUUUCUUCUCCAUAUAAAUCUUUAAUGACAUUUUGGUUUUUAUUUCUGCCAUUAAUUUAAAAAGUGCUAGGAAAAUAAUUUCUUAUUUGCACAUGAAAUAAUGCAGUGCUUUUCAGAAUAAAAACACAUGAGUCAUUUUUGUGAUGAAUAAUUUGGUAUAUUUGGGUAUAUUCUAUUUCUGGAUAAAUAGUUCAAAUAGGAUUUUAGUAAUGCAUGUGUGAUACAUACUUAAAAACAAAAAUAAAGUAUCUUCUUGAGUGUUUGCCUUUGUUGUAAAUUCAGUCAUUCAAAUUGUUGUCUCUCAAGACCCAAAAAUGCUAGGGCAUUGCCAGCUUUGAGUUUAUCCUGAAAAAAUGAAAAGGAAAGAUUUUAAUUCAAAGCAUUAUUUAAUGAUUUUUAAUAAAUAUUUAUUAAAUAUCUUUAUCAGAUUUAAAAAAAUCAAUUCUCUAAUGUGAUAGAAAAAUAUUAUUAGCAGGUUAAACAGUAAGUCUCUUUGCCCAUGUUUUACCCUACUACUAUUUUUAAAAUUAUAGUCAUAUAUUUGUAUUGAAUAAUCUUUUAAAAGCAAAAAUAUAAAUGAUGUAUGGUAUAUUUGUGCUUUUAUGAUUUUCCCUGCUUCUCAAAUAUGUCGACAAUCAUGGACAAAACAGCUGGAGUUUUUGAAUUUCUGAACAUGGAAAUAAUAUGUAUUUAUGUUACAAGCA